AGGAGCCGGAGCGCAGCUCACAUCCCGGGCAGCUCGCCCCACAGGCGCCUACGCCGGCCGCCACGCCGGCCAAUCAGCGCCGGGCUCGGGCAGGCUCCGCCCCUCAUCUCCUCUUCCCGGGUUCCGAGGCCUGCAGCCAUCUUGGAGAAGGGCGGGUGAAGCCGUAGCCGAGCGUUCUCGUCAAACAGGGCUGAGCUCUGGAUCUCACUACGCCGCGAACUCGGAUUUUAGAUGCCUAUGAAGUGAUUAGAGCCAGACUUGGUGGCACACACGUGUCAAAAUCACAGCAUUUGGGAGGCUGAGGCAGGAGGAUCGCUGCGAGUUGAGGCCAGCCUGGGCUACAUAGUAAGUUCAAGAAAAAAAAUGCAAAGAAGAAAGGGCUGGAGAGAAGAAGGAAAUCCAAGGGCUACUGAAUCUUUUGCUGGCACCAGCCCCUGCCCAUGCAGUCCUCAGCUGGUCAGGCCUUAAAUAUCAAGAUAUCAAGACGCACUGGUGAAGCCCACUUCCGAAGUCUCUAGGUCACAACCCUCUCUGAACCCUGGGCUUCUCUACCAAUGGUCUACCAGUCCCUGAAGGCACCUAAAAGCUGAGUUCCCAGGCUGCGGAUGUAGCUCAGAGGAUCCAGCCACUGUGGACAAACAGCCAUCAUCCUGCACUUUGCGUUUUUUUUUUUUUUUUAAACUAGGAUUGAACCCAGGACCUUCACACCGAGCUAUAUCCCAGCUGUUUUUGAUUUAUUUUGAGACAAGUUAUCACUAAAUUGUUAAAUUCCCCAGGCUGGGCCAGAAUUUGUGAUCAUUCCGUCUCAGAGUCCCACACUGUUGGGAUUACAGGCUUGCACUGCCAUGCACAGCUUCACCUGGAUUAUUUUAAUGACGUAGGGGAUUUCUUGCCUCACUUCUGUCUAAUUAGGUUGGCUUACCACAUAGGAUUUUUUAAAAACUAUGUCAAAAUCUGUCAGUUGUUUACUAAAAACACCUCAGUAGUCCCCUCCUCACUCAAAACAGAAAAUGUCUGAAUGGAAGGGCCUACAGAACCUAGGACUUUCCUUUAGUCUCCUCUGGUCUCAGGCACCAGCUUCCACCUCCUGCUCUAGCCACCACAUCCUGCUCAGGACCUUUGCACUUCCCAGGACCCAGACCUCUCUGCCCUCUAAUAGCUACACUGACAGGGCUUGCUCCCUCCCCACAGGUCUGUGU
This 1199-nucleotide long non-coding RNA is filed under the name Heterocephalus glaber (naked mole-rat). Its description in RNAcentral is "lncRNA (ENSHGLG00000035450.1)". Lineage: Eukaryota; Metazoa; Chordata; Mammalia; Rodentia; Bathyergidae. The record is from RNAcentral.